CCCCUCUUAGGGUCGCACCUGGAGAGUUUCCAGUACUCUACCAGUCGCGGGUACAAGAGGGAGAGUUCAGGCAGAGGCCUACCCAUUCCAUUCCUAGCUUUGCCAGUGGUUAGCAAGUGGAAGGCAAUCUGCUACAAAU
Tachyglossus aculeatus (Australian echidna) is the source of this 139-nucleotide small nucleolar RNA. Lineage: Eukaryota; Metazoa; Chordata; Mammalia; Monotremata; Tachyglossidae. The record is from RefSeq and is a predicted model, not a curated record.